Molecule: ribosomal RNA, 253 nt
Filed under: uncultured bacterium
Lineage: Bacteria
Description: partial 16S ribosomal RNA
Rfam family: Bacterial small subunit ribosomal RNA
Source: RNAcentral
UACGUAGGGGGCUAGCGUUGUCCGGAAUCAUUGGGCGUAAAGCGCGUGUAGGCGGUUCGGUAAGUCCGCUGUGAAAGUCGAGGGCUCAACCCUCGAAAGCCGGUGGAUACUGUCGGGCUAGAGUGCGGAAGAGGCGAGUGGAAUUCCUGGUGUAGCGGUGAAAUGCGCAGAUAUCAGGAGGAACACCGGUGGCGAAGGCGGCUUCCUGGACCGACACUGACGCUGAGGCGCGAAAGCUAGGGGAGCAAACGGG